Molecule: ribosomal RNA, 251 nt
Filed under: uncultured bacterium
Lineage: Bacteria
Description: partial 16S ribosomal RNA
Rfam family: Bacterial small subunit ribosomal RNA
Source: RNAcentral
UACGGGGGGAGCAAGCGUUGUUCGGAUUCACUGGGCGUAAAGGGUGCGUAGGUGGCGUGGUAAGUUUGAUGUGAAAGCUCAGGGCUUAACCCUGAAAUGGCAUUGAAUACUACUGUGCUGGAGGUUUGGAGGGGGACUGGAAUUCUUGGUGUAGCAGUGAAAUGCGUAGAUAUCAAGAGGAACACCAGUGGCGAAGGCGAGUCCCUGGACAACACCUGACACUGAGGCACGAAAGCUAGGGAGCAAACAGG